Non-coding RNA from Perkinsus marinus ATCC 50983, 1062 nucleotides. The record is from Rfam. NCBI's taxonomy places the organism in Eukaryota, Perkinsozoa, Perkinsida, Perkinsidae.
UUGGCAGAUGUUAGUGGUGUUUCCUACUUUCAGUCGUCAGCAUCACUGGCUGAGUGGAAAUAAUCCUUGGAUGCUAAUUGGUUCGCUAUCUGUGAAUUGUUGCUUCCUUGCGAUACUCACUACUCGGUCAGUGAGGAAGUGCGUUUGCUGGUCAACGAGCUUUCUACCUGUCAUUACCCUGCGCUUUUCGAUUCGUCGAGUGGCCAGGAUGUGGCUUUGAGAUUGUUCGCACUUAGUAAUCGCGAUGCUGGCUUCCAACGGUUGCCUCCGGCCCGUCUUGAAACACGGACCAAGGAGUCUAACGUAUGUGCGAGUGUGUGAGUGGCAAACUUAUACGCGUAAUGAAAGUGAGGCCGUAUGGCCAUGUUGGGGUCACCAACAACCGACCUUGAUCUUCGGUGAAAGGUUUGAGUAUGAGCAUAUCCGUUAGGACCCGAAAGAUGGUGAACUAUGCCUGAGCAGGGUGAAGCCAGGGGAAACUCUGGUGGAGGCUCGUAGCGAUACUGACGUGCAAAUCGUUCGUCAGACUUGGGUAUAGGGGCGAAAGACUAAUCGAACCAUCUAGUAGCUGGUUCCCUCCGAAGUUUCCCUCAGGAUAGCUAGAGUCUUUAUCAGUUUUGUCAGGUAAAGCGAAUGAUUAGAGGUUCCGGGGAAGUAACUUCCUCGACCUAUUCUCAAACUUUAAAUGGGCAAGAUCCAGUAGUUACUUAAUUGAACUAUUGGGGUCAAUGAGACGACUCUAAGUGGGCCAUUUUUGGUAAGCAGAACUGGCGAUGAGGGAUGAACCUAACGCUCGGUUAAGGUGCUAAACUGCUCGCUCAUCAGAUACCACAAAGGGUGUUGGUCGAUCUUAACAGCAGGACGGUGGUCAUGGAAGUCGAAAUCCGCUAAGGAGUGUGUAACAACUCACCUGCCGAAUCGACUAGCCCCGAAAAUGGAUAGCGCUGAAGCGAGUGACCGAUACCGGGCCAUUGUUGCAAGAUAAUUGGCAACAAUGAGUAGGAGGGCGUGGGGGUUGUGAAGAAGCUUGGACGUGAGUCUGAGUGAAACAGCUCCAGUGCA